Long non-coding RNA from Gouania willdenowi (blunt-snouted clingfish), 2031 nucleotides. The record is from Ensembl. NCBI's taxonomy places the organism in Eukaryota, Metazoa, Chordata, Actinopteri, Blenniiformes, Gobiesocidae.
AUGAUAACUGCAACAAACACCGUUGGUGAUGAAACUUCAGUGCUACUUGUUGUUAGCCUGGUUGUAGUUGGAAGAAUGGUAGUGUUCAUUGCUGCGGUGGUGACAUUUGGAGCAACAGAUGUAGCGCUAGGGGCUGCCGUUGUAGCAUUGGACACAGCAAUUGUUGCGUUGGUUGCUACUGUUGUAGCAUUGGAAGCUGAGGUGGUGGCAUUUGGAGAAACAGAUGUAGCAUUGGGGGCUGAGGUUGUAGCAUUGGACACAGCAAUUGUAGCAUUGGUUGCUACUGUUGUAGCAUUGGGAGCUGAGGUGGUGGCAUUUGGAGCAACAGAUGUAGCGUUGGGGGCUGCGGUUGUAGCAUUGGACGCAGCAAUUGUUGCGUUGGUUGCUACUGUUGUAGCAUUGGAAGCUGAGGUGGUGGCAUUCGGAGCAACAGAUGUAGCAUUGGGGGCUGCGGUUGUAGCAUUGGACGCAGCAACUGUUGCAUUGGUUGCUACCGUUGUAGCAUUGGAAGCUGAGGUGGUGGCAUUCGGAGCAACAGAUGUAGCAUUGGGGGCUGCGGUUGUAGCAUUGGACGCAGCAACUGUUGCGUUGGUUGCUACUGUUGUAGCAUUGGAAGCUGAGGUGGUGGCAUUUGGAGCAACAGAUGUAUCAUUGGGGGCUGCGGUUGUAGCAUUGGACGCAGCAAUUGUUGCAUUGGUUGCUAUUGUUGUAGCAUUGGAGGCUGAGGUGGUGGCAUUUGGAGCAACAGAUGUAGCGUUAGGGGCUGCCGUUGUAGCAUUGGACGCAGCAAUUGUUGCAUUGGUUGCUACUGUUGUAGCAUUGGAAGCUGAGGUGGUGGCAUUUGGAGCAACAGAUGUAUCAUUGGGGGCUGCGGUUGUAGCAUUAGACGCAGCAAUUGUUGCAUUGGUUGCUAUUGUUGUAGCAUUGGAGGCUGAGGUGGUGGCAUUUGGAGCAACAGAUGUAGCAUUGGGGGCUGCGGUUGUAGCAUUAGACGUAGCAACUGUUGCAUUGGUUGCUAUUGUUAUAGCAUUGGAGGCUGAGGUGGUGGCAUUUGGAGCAACAGAUGUAGCGUUGGGGGCUGCGGUUGUAACAUUUGGGGUAAUUCCUAUUGUUUCUGUUGAAAUAGAAAAAGAUUGUGAAAUCUCAAUAAAAAAGUGAACACAUCCAAGCUGUUAUUUAGCAUUGGAAACAUUUUGUGGUUGCAAAGUUCUCGUUCUGCUCAUAAGAAAGGUAUGAAGUUAAGAUAGUCUUGUGGGAUGUUAAAGAGUAACUAAACCCUUGCUUUCUCCAGACCUGCCACCAGGAGGAAAAUUAAAAAAAAUGCCUUGAUUAUGGGCGGGGAUCCUGGAGCAGUUAAGACACGCCCAGUCUAUACUAUACAAUCUCCAAUGAACAAUUUAUGCUAUGUUAACUUGCUACUCACUACUCAAUAUACCUCUCUAUUCACUCUUCUCUCAAUCCAACCUACUCACCACAGAUUGUAGAGCCUGCAGGUGCUAGUUUUUAUGAAAGGGGCAAGGCUAUCAGUGCUUGUUUGUGACGCAAGAUGAUCCCAAAACAUCACAUGAUCUUGUUCUCAACCAAUAGCCCAGUUUCAACCCAUAGAGGGCCGUCACUCUGACAUUUUACAACCAAAUAUACCAAAUUAAAAUACUUUGAAAAAAAUGUUGAGAAAUGAAUCAGGAUCAAUCAACAGCACUACUUCAUACCCAAUUACAUUUGUAUUCAGCAGAAAAAAAGUGGUUUUGGGAUUCAGUUUUUCUUUAAAGAAGAAAAAUUGUGAAGCAGUGAUUCUCAUGAGUUUGAGACCCAACAUCAGCGCCUAAAAAAAGCUGUGAUCCAAUCACAGAUUUUUUUAAAUACAUUUUAACAAACUGGUUUUUAAAAAUGUGGUGCAUUUACAUAAAAUGUACAUUUCAUAAGACCACUGUUUGUCAUACCAGUGGCUGGGAAGGGAUUUGCAUUUUUUUUUUUUAAAUUGAAAGCCAACAGUUAAAUAAAAUCUUAAUUUUAUUUUUUAAUCCUGAGAAA